UCGAUUCCCGGCCAAUGCAACUUAUUGUUU
This 30-nucleotide non-coding RNA is filed under the name Cricetulus griseus (Chinese hamster). The record is from RNAcentral. Lineage: Eukaryota; Metazoa; Chordata; Mammalia; Rodentia; Cricetidae.